This 415-nucleotide ribosomal RNA is filed under the name uncultured bacterium. RNAcentral describes it as "bacterial SSU rRNA". It matches the Rfam family "Bacterial small subunit ribosomal RNA", at positions 107 to 518 of the family's 1533-position model. The record is from RNAcentral.
UGAGUAACGCGUAUCCAACCUCCCUAUAGUAGAGGAUAGACCCGGCGAAAGUCGGAUUAAUACUCUAUGUUUUCCGUUGCAGACACCUAAGAUGGAACAAAGGCUUGCCGCUAUAGGAUGGGGAUGCGUCUGAUUAGGUAGUCGGCGGGGUAACGGCCCACCGAGCCAUCGAUCAGUAGGGGUUCUGAGAGGAAGGUCCCCCCACAUUGGAACUGAGACACGGUCCAAACUCCUACGGGAGGCAGCAGUGAGGAAUAUUGGUCAAUGGGCGAGAGCCUGAACCAGCCAAGUAGCGUGCCAGGAUGACGGCCCUAUGGGUUGUAAACUGCUUUUAUGCGGGGAUAAAGUUCACUACGUGUAGUGUUUUGUAGGUACCGCAUGAAUAAGGACCGGCUAAUUCCGUGCCAGCAGCCGC